This is a long non-coding RNA of Oreochromis aureus, 1466 nucleotides long. The record is from Ensembl. NCBI's taxonomy places the organism in Eukaryota, Metazoa, Chordata, Actinopteri, Cichliformes, Cichlidae.
UGUUACGGUGACUACAUUUUGUAAGUUACAAAUAUAGUUCGCCAAGACAGCAUAACGAUUUCUAAACAACUGCGCAUUAAUACCACAAUGUUGUAUUUUCACGUGUCAAGUUCGCAACGCGCAUUAAUCCCAAAGGCUGAAAAGCCAGCAGCGAUGAGUGCUCCGCCUCCGCGCUGACUAGCGUUGACGCAGAAAAUGACUCUCAGGGGGUUUUUGACGGAGGAGCUCCUUAAAAAGUUGAUGGAAGAAGGCAUUGAUGUGUCAGACGACGAGGCGCAAAGGUUUAGAGGAUUCGAGCUUUGUGGGGGAAGAUGCAGCCUCCGUUGAUGCUCAUAUCAAGGUGCUAAAUGAUCAGCACAAGAAGCUACAUCCUGACACAGCACUGGUGAAAGACCGCAUCACAAAAACCUUUGCAUGGAGACAUCGAGAGGUAGCUGAAGGAAUGUGUACUGUGGACCUAUUAAAGAGAGAUCCAUUCCUGGGGACAUCUGCAGGGUUGUGUGAUGAGGUUGAUUUAAUGCAUCACUGCCAAGACAACAUCUGUCGCCGCUUUAGCGAAAACUUCACUGCUGUUCUUCAAAAUGUUCUUCAAAUGACCAAGGAUUUGCCACUGCAGAAGGUCUACAUGGAAGCAAGAGAGAAUGCACUGGCUGAAGAAAUUACAGGAAUUGACUUCAAGGGGGCACUUCUCCUCUUGCCAUCCAUCUUCAAGGAGAAGAUAGAAGAUUUCAUCAUCCUUGGAGAGAAUACUCCGAGUCCAUACCCAACCAUUCGAAUGAAGGAUAAGAGUUGGACAACUGCCCUCUCAAGACAAUGUUGCUGUGUUGUGACAGUUGAAGGAGUGGAUGUUUGCUCGUGCCGCUCGCUGGAUGAGGCCUACAUCUCAGCAUUCUCCACCUUCUUCGUGUUCAACAUGACCUACCCUGCAUACUUCAAGAAAACACUUGUCUUUCUUCAGAACUGCAUUGUCAACAUAGGAGACAAGGGAGGAGACAAACCCCUGCCAGUAAGUGUCACCAGGGUACUUGACCAACUCUAUUAAAUAUGCCCCCACUCCACAUAUGUUCAAAAUGUUCAAAAAGGGCAUUUACUCUGCUUACCAAGUGGCAGUUGACAAUGACUGGAUCCUGUUCAAUCCAGGAAAUGAAUUAGACUUUCAAGCUCUAGACACCAAUUUAGUUGAUGAUAGGCUGUUUGUUGCCUUGAGGUAUUCUGUGUGACGUGAUUGCAAGCACAUUUUCCACUUUGUCUAUAUAUAUGACAUAUAUAUAUAUAUUCUGGCUUGUUGAAGUAGAGCAAAACAUUUGUGUGGACAGUUUUUUUUUUUUUUUUUUUUAAAUACAUGCCAUCUCUGUGAUCCGUCAAAACAUUGUGUUCAGGUGUUUAAUGUCUUUGUGAUUGUUUACUUUUUUAAAUGAAUGUAUUUUUCUUGACAUGUCCUAUGGCAAUAUACAAAUGUAAUCAAG